Molecule: non-coding RNA, 193 nt
Filed under: Ligilactobacillus pobuzihii
Lineage: Bacteria; Bacillati; Bacillota; Bacilli; Lactobacillales; Lactobacillaceae
Description: Lactobacillus pobuzihii T-box sequence
Rfam family: T-box leader
About the family: Uncharged tRNA acts as the effector for transcription antitermination of genes in the T-box leader family. T-boxes are found upstream of many aminoacyl-tRNA synthetase genes and some amino acid biosynthetic genes usually in Gram-positive bacteria.
Source: RNAcentral
AAUAAAGCAAUGAAGUAACGCAGUAGUAACUUGGACCCUGGCCAAGAGAGCUGAUGUUCGCUGUAAAUCAGUCUAUUCCAAGUUUAUGAAGUACAUUAUGGAGCAAAAUUCGGUUGAUCUCGUUAUCGAUGUUUAAGGUGACUGCAGUUAUUGCAGUAAUCUGGGUGGUAACGCGGUAAGAUUCGUCCCUGAU